RNAcentral lists this long non-coding RNA (1069 nucleotides) under Sarcophilus harrisii (Tasmanian devil). RNAcentral's name for it is "lncRNA (ENSSHAG00000028915.1)". Lineage: Eukaryota; Metazoa; Chordata; Mammalia; Dasyuromorphia; Dasyuridae. The record is from RNAcentral.
AGCAUCAAGAAGCUAAUUUAAUCCAUGGGAUCUAUUGAGAUCACCAAGUGAAAUAAAGUGAUGAGUCAAGAGAAGAGAACCCAGGGCAGAGUCUCCUUGGACACCCCUAAGUGAAGAUGUAGAAAAUGAAUCUCAGGAGUUGUGAGCCAGGUAGGAGAAGAACAAGGAGAGACAAUAUCAGAAAAUCCUACAGAGAAAAGUGAUUAACUCUGUCAAAGGCUUCAAAGAAGUCAAGAAGGACAAGGCCUAAGAAAAGGACAUUACAUUUGACAGACAUUUGGUUACUUUGGCCGAGAAGGGAGCGGAAACUUGGGAAGAAAAGGAAUCAAAAAGGCCAGUGCUGGCUCAGUUUGAGAAUUCUCUGUUCAAGAGUCUAGGUUCCUACUUUACCUGUGUCCCUGAUUGAGAAACUUCCUACCAAGACAUCCAAGAUAGAAGCCUUGCUGGAGCUAACACCUGGUGAAUCUGGAGAAAUAACUAAACACAUUUUGGAAAUGGGAAAAAAAGAAGAACCAAAGAAAGAGACCCAAAAAGAAUUGGGAGACUCAAUAGGACACAAAGUCCUACCUACAUCUAAGGCUGCUGAAGGUGAUGAAAAAAAAGACAAGCGUAAAGAUAAUGGUGGAGAAAGCCGUGGUAAAGGCACAACUGAAAAUAAUGACAAACUAUAUGAGGAUUUUGUUUUCUGGAACUAUAAUUUAAUCAUAGAUUAAAAAUCAUUGGACCAUGACUAGGCAAAUCAUUCUGGGGACUGAUUCAAGAAGAAUCUAAGUUCAUCUCAGUGGAUAUCUUCAAGGCCUUGAAAUGGAUAAUUUACAAGUACUUACUUUGAACUAGAUGCUGACCAAGUACUUUUCACACUCCUGCAGUCAAGAUACCCCCAGAAGUUUCAGAAGUCCUUCCUAGCCAGUUUCCUCUGCCAACUUGCUAUUGCUGUUCCAUCAUCUGGAUCCUGUGGCAAUUUUAGUUUCUCUAAUGAUCAAUUACCAAUCGGGAAACUUGACUGUGCCCUAUCUAAACUAUGAAUUAUGACCAAUAUGAUUUAAAAGAAAUAAAGCCAGAUAGAAGC